ACUGAAGAAUCUCAAACCAGCAACCCUAACGGAGAUUGUGAAGGUUUUCAAAGUGGGGCACCUCGAUUUCUCGAAUCUGUGGUGUGGCGAAUAUCCGUGUUCUUCCGGCUUAACUAGCCUGUUUGAAAGAAAAUGCAAGGGGAAAUAUCUGAUACGGCUCUGUUAUUUGAUGCUUUGGGCAGCACUAUGCUCAGAAGUCAUUCAACUUCCUGCCAUCUCCCUAACUUGUAUUCUCUGGCAAAAUGAAGGUCUGAGACGUUUCUAAAAGACAGAGUUGGAAAUGAACCAUCAUUGGUGUUGACAGAGAUGCCAAGCAGUCACCUGAGUGCAUAUAGCGUUCUCAUCUUCUGAUUCACUAAAACUCCUCCCUUUUGCUUUUACUCUAUUUGAAUCUGUACUUCCGUUUGUACUGAUUCGGUGGAUGAAAGUGCUUGCUGUCAAGCCUGGUGACAUAAGUCGAUUCCUGGAAACUAUGUGACACAAAGGGAGAACUGACUCCUGAAAGAUGUCCUCGGAUCUUCACAUAUGCACAGUGGCACACGGCAUGUACCUAGCCAACCAUGCACAUAGUAUAUUAAAAUUAUUUUUAAAAA
RNAcentral lists this long non-coding RNA (593 nucleotides) under Rattus norvegicus (Norway rat). Its description in RNAcentral is "long non-coding RNA NONRATT011487". The record is from RNAcentral. Lineage: Eukaryota; Metazoa; Chordata; Mammalia; Rodentia; Muridae.